This 444-nucleotide ribosomal RNA is filed under the name Aeromonas sp. AE32. RNAcentral describes it as "bacterial SSU rRNA". It matches the Rfam family "Bacterial small subunit ribosomal RNA", at positions 30 to 465 of the family's 1533-position model. Lineage: Bacteria; Pseudomonadati; Pseudomonadota; Gammaproteobacteria; Aeromonadales; Aeromonadaceae. The record is from RNAcentral.
AUUGAACGCUGGCGGCAGGCCUAACACAUGCAAGUCGAGCGGCAGCGGGAAAGUAGCUUGCUACUUUUGCCGGCGAGCGGCGGACGGGUGAGUAAUGCCUGGGGAUCUGCCCAGUCGAGGGGGAUAACAGUUGGAAACGACUGCUAAUACCGCAUACGCCCUACGGGGGAAAGGAGGGGACCUUCGGGCCUUUCGCGAUUGGAUGAACCCAGGUGGGAUUAGCUAGUUGGUGGGGUAAUGGCUCACCAAGGCGACGAUCCCUAGCUGGUCUGAGAGGAUGAUCAGCCACACUGGAACUGAGACACGGUCCAGACUCCUACGGGAGGCAGCAGUGGGGAAUAUUGCACAAUGGGGGAAACCCUGAUGCAGCCAUGCCGCGUGUGUGAAGAAGGCCUUCGGGUUGUAAAGCACUUUCAGCGAGGAGGAAAGGUUGGCGCCUAAUAC